GAUGAACGCUGGCGGCGUGCCUAAUACAUGCAAGUCGAGCGAACGGACGAGAAGCUUGCUUCUCUGAUGUUAGCGGCGGACGGGUGAGUAACACGUGGAUAACCUACCUAUAAGACUGGGAUAACUUCGGGAAGCCGGAGCUAAUACCGGAUAAUAUUUUGAACCGCAUGGUUCAAAAGUGAAAGACGGUCUUGCUGUCACUUAUAGAUGGAUCCGCGCUGCAUUAGCUAGUUGGUAAGGUAACGGCUUACCAAGGCAACGAUGCAUAGCCGACCUGAGAGGGUGAUCGGCCACACUGGAACUGAGACACGGUCCAGACUCCUACGGGAGGCAGCAGUAGGGAAUCUUCCGCAAAGGGCGAAAGCCUGACGGAGCAACGCCGCGUGAGUGAUGAAGGUCUUCGGAUCGUAAAACUCUGUUAUUAGGGAAGAACAUAUGUGUAAGUAACUGUGCACAUCUUGACGGUACCUAAUCAGAAAGCCACGGCUAACUACGUG
Molecule: ribosomal RNA, 497 nt
Filed under: uncultured bacterium
Lineage: Bacteria
Description: partial 16S ribosomal RNA
Rfam family: Bacterial small subunit ribosomal RNA
Source: RNAcentral